UUCCUUAUGUGCUACAUGCGGCAAAUAGAUAUUCUCAUUCUAUUCACAAACCUAAUUAUUCACUGUGAAAAUAACUAAGUCACAUGUCACCAUGCCCAGUUCUAACCCUAGAAUUCCUUUCUCAAUUCCUUCUAGAGUAACAAGGUAAUUACUGAUCAGAUAAUUAAUCAAUAAGCACAAAGCAAGAUGAACAAUUCACUUCAACAUAAAUAAUUAGAAUAAAUCAAAUAAUCAAUUCAUAAUCAUAAAAAGUUCAAUUGAAAUCUUAAUGAAAGAGUUAGUUCAUAAUUAAUGAAUUAAAAUCAAGAAUCCACAAUUGAAUAGACAUUAAAAGAUAAAAG
Molecule: long non-coding RNA, 341 nt
Filed under: Panax ginseng (ginseng)
Lineage: Eukaryota; Viridiplantae; Streptophyta; Magnoliopsida; Apiales; Araliaceae
Description: long non-coding RNA (PGIN_LNC007512)
Source: RNAcentral